Molecule: ribosomal RNA, 584 nt
Filed under: uncultured Pseudomonas sp.
Lineage: Bacteria; Pseudomonadati; Pseudomonadota; Gammaproteobacteria; Pseudomonadales; Pseudomonadaceae
Description: bacterial SSU rRNA
Rfam family: Bacterial small subunit ribosomal RNA
Source: RNAcentral
ACGGGUGAGUAAAGCCUAGGAAUCUGCCUGGUAGUGGGGGAUAACGUUCGGAAACGGACGCUAAUACCGCAUACGUCCUACGGGAGAAAGCAGGGGACCUUCGGGCCUUGCGCUAUCAGAUGAGCCUAGGUCGGAUUAGCUAGUUGGUGAGGUAAUGGCUCACCAAGGCGACGAUCCGUAACUGGUCUGAGAGGAUGAUCAGUCACACUGGAACUGAGACACGGUCCAGACUCCUACGGGAGGCAGCAGUGGGGAAUAUUGGACAAUGGGCGAAAGCCUGAUCCAGCCAUGCCGCGUGUGUGAAGAAGGUCUUCGGAUUGUAAAGCACUUUAAGUUGGGAGGAAGGGCAGUUACCUAAUACGUGAUUGUUUUGACGUUACCGACAGAAUAAGCACCGGCUAACUCUGUGCCAGCAGCCGCGGUAAUACAGAGGGUGCAAGCGUUAAUCGGAAUUACUGGGCGUAAAGCGCGCGUAGGUGGUUUGUUAAGUUGGAUGUGAAAUCCCCGGGCUCAACCUGGGAACUGCAUUCAAAACUGACUGACUAGAGUGUGGUAGAGGGUGGUGGAAUUUCCUGUGUAGCGGU